RNAcentral lists this ribosomal RNA (469 nucleotides) under uncultured bacterium. RNAcentral's name for it is "bacterial SSU rRNA". It matches the Rfam family "Bacterial small subunit ribosomal RNA", at positions 43 to 524 of the family's 1533-position model. The record is from RNAcentral.
CAGGCCUACACAUGCAAGUCGCGCGAGAAAGUGGGGGCAACCCUACGAGUAAAGCGGGCACGGGUGAGUAAUACGUAGGUAACCUACCUCCGAGACUGGGAUAACCUCCGAAAGGAGGGCUAAUACUAGAUGAGACCACGGGGCUUUGGCUCUGGGUCAAAGGUGGCCUCUGCUCGCAAGCUACCACUCGAAGAUGGGCCUGCGACCAUUAGCUAGUUGGCGAGGUAACGGCUCACCAAGGCGAAGAUGGUUACUGAUCUGAGAGGAUGAUCAGCCACACUGGGACUGAGACACGGCCCAGAUCCUACGGGAGGCAGCAGUAGGGAAUUUUCCACAAUGGGCGAAAGCCUGUGGAGCAACGCCGCGUGCAGGAUGAAGGCCUUAGGGUUGUAAACUGCUUUAUUGGUGAAGAUUAUGACGGUAGCCAAUGAAUAAGGGUCUGCUAACUAGUGCCAGCAGNCGCGGUAAU